This 83-nucleotide non-coding RNA is filed under the name Clostridium oryzae. Its description in RNAcentral is "c-di-GMP-II sequence". It matches the Rfam family "Cyclic di-GMP-II riboswitch aptamer". The record is from Rfam by way of RNAcentral. Lineage: Bacteria; Bacillati; Bacillota; Clostridia; Eubacteriales; Clostridiaceae.
AAUAUAGUUGGAAAUUAUGAAGGAUUUUCAUUAUUGGGCACUAUGAAAAUCUGGAGUUAGUAGUGCAACCGACCAACAACCAG